UCAGUCGACUCUACGGGGAGGCAGCAGUGAGGAAUAUUGGUCAAUGGGCGCAAGCCUGAACCAGCCAUGCCGCGUGCAGGAAGACUGCCUAUGGGUUGUAAACUGCUUUAUACAGGAAGAAACACUCGGACGUGUCCGAGCUUGACGGUACUGUAAGAAUAAGGAUCGGCGUAACUCCCGUGCCAGCAGCCGCGGUAAUACGGAGGAUCCAAGCGUUAUCCGGAUCAUUGGUUAAGGGUCCGUAGGUGGAUUAGUAAGUCAGAGGUGAAAGCCUGCAGCUCAACUGUAGAACUGCCUUUGAUACUGCUAGUCUUGAGUCAUUAUGAAGUGGUUAGAAUGUGUAGUGUAGCGGUGAAAUGCAUAGAUAUUACACAGAAUACCGAUUGCGAAGGCAGAUCACUAAUAAUGUACUGACACUGAUGGACGAAAGCGUGGGGAGCGAACAGGAUUAGAUACCCUGGUAG
This 464-nucleotide ribosomal RNA is filed under the name uncultured bacterium. RNAcentral's name for it is "bacterial SSU rRNA". It matches the Rfam family "Bacterial small subunit ribosomal RNA", at positions 328 to 793 of the family's 1533-position model. The record is from RNAcentral.